RNAcentral lists this ribosomal RNA (422 nucleotides) under uncultured bacterium. RNAcentral's name for it is "bacterial SSU rRNA". It matches the Rfam family "Bacterial small subunit ribosomal RNA", at positions 355 to 774 of the family's 1533-position model. The record is from RNAcentral.
UAGGGAAUCUUCCACAAUGGGCGAAAGCCUGAUGGAGCAACGCCGCGUGAGUGAUGAAGGUUUUCGGAUCGUAAAACUCUGUUGUUAGGGAAGAACACCCGAGAGAGGAUCUCGGACUGACGGUACCUAACGAGAAAGCCCCGGCUAACUACGUGCCAGCAGCCGCGGUAAUACGUCGGGGGCAAGCGUUGUCCGGAUUUACUGAGUUUAAAGGGUGCGUAGGUGGGCUUAUAAGUCAGUGGUGAAAUCUCCGAGCUUAACUUGGAAACGGCCGUUGNUACUAUAGGUCUUGAAUUAUCUGGAGGGAAGCGGAAUAUGUCAUGUAGCGGUGAAAUGCUUAGAUAUGACAUAGAACACCAAGUGCGAAGGCAGCUUACUACAUAUAAAUUGACGCUGAGGCACGAAAGCGUGGGGAUCAAACA